AACGAACGCUGGCGGCAUGCCUAACACAUGCAAGUCGAACGAGACCUCCGGGUCUGGUUGCUCACGGGUGCGUAACGCGUGGGAACCUUCCCUUAGGUUCGGAAUACCUCCCCGUAAGGGGUGCUAAUACCGGAUAAUUUCUUCGGACCAAAGAUUUAUCGCGUUUGGGGGGGCCCGCGUUGGAUUAGCUGGUUGGUAGUGUAAAAGCCUACCAAGGCGACGAUCCAUAGCUGGUAUGAGAGGAGGAGCAGCCACACUGGGGGUGAGACACGGCCCAGACUACUACGGGAGGGAGGAGUGGGGGAUACUGGACAAUGGGCGAAAGGCUGAACGAGCAAGGGCGGGUGAGUGAUGAAGGUGUGAGGGAAGUAAAGCUGGUUUACACGGGAUGAUAAUGACAGUACCGGGAGAAUAAGCACCGGCUAACUCCGUG
This 433-nucleotide ribosomal RNA is filed under the name uncultured bacterium. RNAcentral's name for it is "partial 16S ribosomal RNA". It matches the Rfam family "Bacterial small subunit ribosomal RNA", at positions 29 to 507 of the family's 1533-position model. The record is from RNAcentral.